Long non-coding RNA from Symphalangus syndactylus (siamang), 548 nucleotides. RefSeq lists it as uncharacterized. The record is from RefSeq and is a predicted model, not a curated record. Lineage: Eukaryota; Metazoa; Chordata; Mammalia; Primates; Hylobatidae.
GUUAGACCCGGUGGCUACUGAGAAGUAUGGUGCCGCAGAGGCCAAAAACUUGAGUCACCCUUGUCAUCUCUUUGCCUUCCAAUCCCUGGGCCAAAGUUCUGUUGGCUGUACCUUUAGUACACAGAGUCCUACCACUACUACUGGCCACUACUGCUGCUGCUACCACCCUAGGCUAAGCCACCAACACUCGAUGAGAAGACUUCUGAGUUGCUAUUAAAUCUUCUGAGUUGCUUCUCCUAAAUCUCCCUAUUUUCACCCAGGUUCCCUAUAAUAUUGUAUACACAGUAUCCAGAGUGACCUUUAAAUAUGUCAGACCAUGGCUCAAACCCCUCAAUGGCUUCCCAAGUUUCCUACCAUGGCUUCCAAGAGUCCCCAGUUCCUAGCGCCUUGUACACUGUGCUCUAAUGCCCUGCUUUAGUCAAACUGCCAAGCUUGUUCCCUCCUCCCUCCCUCAAAUAUUUGCCUGCCUUAUUUCUGCUCUUAGCUCUAAGGAUUACUUCCUUAGAGACACCUUUUUAAAUUAUCAUAAAUAAAAGACUCACCACCCC